Molecule: ribosomal RNA, 497 nt
Filed under: uncultured bacterium
Lineage: Bacteria
Description: partial 16S ribosomal RNA
Rfam family: Bacterial small subunit ribosomal RNA
Source: RNAcentral
GAUGAACGCUGGCGGCGUGCCUAAUACAUGCAAGUCGAGCGAACAGAUAAGGAGCUUGCUCCUUUGACGUUAGCGGCGGACGGGUGAGUAACACGUGGGUAACCUACCUAUAAGACUGGGAUAACUUCGGGAAACCGGAGCUAAUACCGGAUAAUAUUUCGAACCGCAUGGUUCGAUAGUGAAAGAUGGUUUUGCUAUCACUUAUAGAUGGACCCGCGCCGUAUUAGCUAGUUGGUAAGGUAACGGCUUACCAAGGCGACGAUACGUGGCCGACCUGAGAGGGUGAUCGGCCACACUGGAACUGAGACACGGUCCAGACUCCUACGGGAGGCAGCAGUAGGGAAUCUUCCGCAAAGGGCGAAAGCCUGACGGAGCAACGCCGCGUGAGUGAUGAAGGUCUUCGGAUCGUAAAACUCUGUUAUUAGGGAAGAACAUACGUGUAAGUAACUGUGCACGUCUUGACGGUACCUAAUCAGAAAGCCACGGCUAACUACGUG